CAAUAGCGUAUAUUAAAGUUGUUGCGGUUAAAAAGCUCGUAGUUGGAUUUCGGCGGACAGGGGGCGGUUCGAUAUUUGUCGCUACUGCCCCAUUUGUCCGUGUUUUUGGCGGAGGUUUCAGGGUGCUCUUCACCGAGUGUCCUGGGAGGCCGUCAGGUUUACUUUGAAAAAAUUAGAGUGCUCAAAGCAGGCUUUACACGCUUGAAUAUUCGUGCAUGGAAUAAUGGAAUAGGACGUCGUUUCUAUUUUGUUGGUUUUCGGAAAUCGACGUAAUGAUUAACAGGGACAGUCGGGGGCAUUAGUAUUCAGACGACAGAGGUGAAAUUCUUGGACCGUCUGAAGACUAACUACUGCGAAAGCAUUUGCCAAGAAUGUUUUCAUUAA
RNAcentral lists this ribosomal RNA (384 nucleotides) under uncultured eukaryote. Its description in RNAcentral is "partial 18S ribosomal RNA". It matches the Rfam family "Eukaryotic small subunit ribosomal RNA", at positions 592 to 976 of the family's 1831-position model. The record is from RNAcentral.